GGUCAAGCUACUAAGGGCGCAUGGUGGAUGCCUUGGCAGUAGGAGGCGAUGAAGGACGUGGCAAGCUGCGAUAAGCCUCGGGGAGCCGCAAGCAGGCUUUGAUCCGGGGAUGUCCGAAUGGGGAAACCCCACAUGGUAAAACCGUGUGACGGCCCGAUGAAUCCAUAGUCGGGUACGAGCGAACCCAGGGAAGUGAACCAUCUCAGUACCUGGAGGAAGAGAAAGAAACCUCGAUUCCGAAAGUAGUGGCGAGCGAAAUCGGAAGAGCCCAAACCCAACGAACCUUCGGGUUCGGUGGGGGUUGUAGGACCCGCAACAGUAGAGUUACCAAUCCAGCCGUUAGUCGAAGCCCUCUGGAAAGAGGCGCCACAGAGCAUGAAAGCUGCGUAGGCGAAAACGAUCUGGACUCGAAGCGGGCACCUGAGUACCGCGGGGCACGUGAAACCCUGCGGGAAUCUGCGGAGACCAUUCCGUAAGGCUAAAUACUACCUACUGACCGAUAGUGAACCAGUACCGUGAGGGAAAGGUGAAAAGAACCCCUGCGAGGGGAGUGAAAUAGUACCUGAAACCGUGUGCCUACAAGCAGUGGGAGGGCUAUGCCCGUAAGGGAAUGCCUGACCGCGUGCCUAUUGCAUAAUGAGCCGGCUAGUUAUUCUUGUCAGCGAGGUUAAGCGGAAGCGAGCCGUAGCGAAAGCGAGUCCUAAUAGGGCGUUCAGUUGGCAGGAAUAGACGCGAAGCGGGAUGAUCUACCCUUGGCCAGGUUGAAGGUGGGGUAACACCCACUGGAGGACCGAACCGGUGUAUGUUGAAAAAUGCUCGGAUGAGCUGAGGGUAGGAGUGAAAGGCCAAUCAAAUUCCGUGAUAGCUCGUUCUCUCCGAAAUAGCUUUAGGGCUAGCCUCAUGUGAUUUGCAGCGGUGGUAGAGAUCUGGAUGGACUAAGGGGCUUUCCAGCUUACUGAAUCCAACCAAACUUCGAAUGCCGUGGACAACCAGCAUGGGAGUCAGACUGUGGGGGCUAAGCUUCAUAGUCGAGAGGAAAACAGUCCAGACCAUCUGCUAAGGUCCCAAAAUUUCAGCUAAGUGGGAAAGGAUGUCGGAACGCCCAGACAGCCAGGAGGUUGGCUUAGAAGCAGCCAUCCUUUAAAGAAAGCGUAAUAGCUCACUGGUCAAGCGGUCCGGUGCCGAUAAUUCAACGGGGCUCAAGCUGAAUACCGAAGCAAUGGAUGCAUGGUUUUGACCAUGCGUGGUAGGAGAGCAUUCCCAGCGGUUUGAAGCGAGAUCGAAAGAACUCGUGGACUGCUGAGGAAGAGACCCUGCCGGCAUAAGUAGCGAUAACGGAGGUGAGAACCCUCCGCGCCGAAAGUCUAAGGUUUCCUGAGAAAGGUUAAUCCGCUCAGGGUUAGGCGGUCCCUAAGGUGAGGCCGAGAGGCGUAACUGAUGGACACCCGGUUAAUAUUCCGGGCCUUCCCUGAUUUCGUUAUCACGAUGGGGCGACGCAGAAGGAUAGGCGGGUCGUAACAUGACUAUUACGAUCGAUGCGUGCAAGCCGGAUCCGGUAGGCAAAUCCGCCGGGUCAUUAACGGUGAGACGCAAAGCAUACCCGUAUGGGGAAAAGCCGCUGAGUUCACGCUGCCAAGAAAAACCUCUAAGGAGAAAUUAGGGAAACCGUACCUCAAACCGACACAGGUAGACGAGGAGAAUAUCCAAAGGCGCUCGAGAGAAGGCUCGUUCAGGAACUAGGCAAAUUAACCCCGUAACUUCGGGAGAAGGGGUGCCACAAUAGGGUUUAAAGCCCGAAGUGGCCGCAGCGAAUCGCGCACGGCGACUGUUUAACAAAAACACAGGUCUCUGCAAAGUCGAAAACGACGUAUAGGGGCUGACGCCUGCCCGGUGCCGGAAGGUUAAAAGGAGAGGUUAGCCGCAAGGCGAAGCUUUGAAUUGAAGCCCCGGUGAACGGCGGCCGUAACUAUAACGGUCCUAAGGUAGCGAAAUUCCUUGUCGGGUAAGUUCCGACCUGCACGAAUGGCGUAACGAUCGUGCGACUGUCUUGACGAGUUUCUCGGCGAAUUUGUGGUACCGGUGAAGACGCCGGUUACCCGCACCUAGACGGAAAGACCCCGUGCACCUUUACUAUACCUUCACUAUGAACUAUGGCAUUUGCUGCGCAGGAUAGGUGGGAGGCUUUGAUUCCAGGCUUUCGGGUUUGGAGGAGCCAACGGUGAGAUACCACCCUGCGAAUUCUGUGGUUCUAACCUAUUCCCGUCAACCGGGAAAGGGACAUAGUGAGGCGGGUAGUUUGACUGGGGCGGUCGCCUCCUAAAUUGUAACGGAGGCGCGCGAAGCUACGCUCAGGCUGUUUGGAAAUCAGCCGUCGAGUGCAAAGGCAUAAGCGUGGUUAACUGCGAGUCCAACAAGACGAGCAGAUGCGAAAGCAGGCCUUAGUGAUCCGGUGGUUCUGCAUGGAAGGGCCAUCGCUCAACGGAUAAAAGGUACGCCGGGGAUAACAGGCUGAUCGCUGCCAAGAGUUCAUAUCGACGCAGCGGUUUGGCACCUCGAUGUCGGUUCAUCGCAUCCUGGAGCUGUAGAAGGUUCCAAGGGUUAGGCUGUUCGCCUAUUAAAGCGGUACGUGAACUGGGUUCAGAACGUCGCGAGACAGUUCGGUCCCUAUCUGGUGUGGGCGUAGGAGAUUUGAGUGGGUCUGUCCUUAGUACGAGAGGACCGGGAUGGACGAACCUCUUGUGUUCCAGUUGUCGUGUCAGCGGCAUGGCUGGGUAGCGAAGUUCGGUUGUGAUAAACGCUGAAUGCAUAUAAGCGUGAAGCACUCCACAAGAUGAGAUCUCCCAACCCUAAGGGUGAAGAAGGGCACAGGAAGACCACCUGUUUGAUAGGCUGGAUGUGUAAGAGCAGUAAUGCUUUGAGCUUACCAGUACUAAUCGCCCGUUCGGCUUGACCAU
RNAcentral lists this ribosomal RNA (2954 nucleotides) under Terriglobia bacterium. Its description in RNAcentral is "23S ribosomal RNA". It matches the Rfam family "Bacterial large subunit ribosomal RNA". Lineage: Bacteria; Pseudomonadati; Acidobacteriota; Terriglobia. The record is from RNAcentral.